RNAcentral lists this ribosomal RNA (468 nucleotides) under uncultured bacterium. RNAcentral describes it as "partial 16S ribosomal RNA". It matches the Rfam family "Bacterial small subunit ribosomal RNA", at positions 28 to 507 of the family's 1533-position model. The record is from RNAcentral.
GACGAACGCUGGCGGCGUGCUUAACACAUGCAAGUCGAACGGAAAGGCCCUGCUUUUGUGGGGUGCUCGAGUGGCGAACGGGUGAGUAACACGUGAGUAACCUGCCCUUGACUUUGGGAUAACUUCAGGAAACUGGGGCUAAUACCGGAUAGGAUCUCCUGCUGCAUGGUGGGGGGUGGAAAGUUUCGGCGGUUGGGGAUGGACGCGCGGCUUAUCAGCUUGUUGGUGGGGUAGUGGCUUACCAAGGCUUUGACGGGUAGCCGGCAUGAGAGGGUGACCGGCCACAUUGGGACUGAGAUACGGACCAGACUCCUACGGGAGGCAGCAGUGGGGAAUAUUGCACAAUGGGCGGAAGCCUGAUGCAGCAACGCCGCGUGCGGGAUGACGGCCUUCGGGUUGAAAACCGCUUUCGCCUGUGACGAAGCGUGAGUGACGGUAAUGGGUAAAGAAGCACCGGCUAACUACGUG